Molecule: ribosomal RNA, 1191 nt
Filed under: Brachidontes mutabilis
Lineage: Eukaryota; Metazoa; Mollusca; Bivalvia; Mytilida; Mytilidae
Description: large subunit ribosomal RNA
Rfam family: Archaeal large subunit ribosomal RNA (bases 510-1191)
Source: RNAcentral
AGUAGUUUAGCUCAUUAAUUGUAUCGUGUGAAAGUAAAAAAAACUUGAUAGUAUAGUGUAAUCUAGUACCUUUUGUAUAAGGGUUUUUUAAGAGAAGUUACUUAUGUAUUCUCCCGAAAAAAAAGAAUCUAUCGUUGUAAGUAGGAAUACCGUGGUAAAGUUAUUCAUAAUUAAACGAUAAAAGCUAGAUACUAAUUGCCUUUUUUGAUAUCUGGUUGAUCCAAAAAUAUAUUUAGUAUAGUUCAUUAUUAUAAGGUGGGCUUAAUGCGGUUGGGAUAAGCUAAACGUAGUAUGUAAUGAGUUUUUAGUUAAAAUUGUUUGACUUUAUAGGCUUAAUAUUAGUCAUUUGAGUUAGUUUGUGAUAAAUAAAUUAAUCUUUUUUAUAAAUUUAUUAAUUUUGUUCAUUUAGGGGUCUAUGGAUUUAUUUUUAGGUAAAAAUUAAUAAUGAUAAAAAUAAGUAGAAUCUAAGUUGUUUUAUGGGCUUAUUUGAAUAAGUUUAUUUUUUUUAAGAGUACAGCUUGAAUACUUCAUAAUGAACUCGGCAAACUCUUAUCUGCGCCUGUUUAACAAAAACAUCUCUUCUUGUUUUAAAUAAGAAGUAGGCCCUGCCCGGUGCUUAAUGUAAACGGCGGCCUUAGCGUGAGGGUCUUAAGGUAGCAUGACAAGUCGGCCUUUAAUUGGGGUCUGGUAUGAAUGGGUUGACGUUGGAUAAACUGUCUCAUGAAGUGUCUUUGAAAUUAAUUAUAAAGUGAAGAAGCUUUAAUAAAUAAAAAAGACGACAAGACCCUAUGAAGCUUUAUCGUAAUUUAGUAAAAACCUUAUAUGUUAUUGUUAGGGCUUACUAAAUAUGAAUUUGUUGGGAUAACAAAACGGGAAUGUGCUGUUUAAGAUAAAAUUUACUGACAAGUUAAUCCUCAAUUUGGUAAGAUAUGGCAAGCUACUCUAGGGAUAACAGCGCGAUCUUUUUUUAGAGUUCUAAUCGAAAAAAAGGUUUGCGACCUCGAUGUUGGCUUUAGGUUACCUGAAGGCGUAGAGGCUUUCAAGAGUGGGUCUGUUCGACCUUUAAUUCCUAACAUGAGCUGAGUUCAGACCGGCGUGAGCUAGGUCAGUUUCUAUCUUUUUUAUAAAAUAGGGGGGUUUGGUACGAAAGGACUUCUCAACCGUGGUUUCCAUUUAUCUAGAAGUUAUUUA